GACGAAGCGUCCAAACGUUAUUCGGAAUUACUGGGCUUAAAGGGUGCGUAGGCGGCGCGGAAAGUUGGGUGUGAAAUCCCUCGGCUCAACCGAGGAACUGCGCCCAAUACUACCGUGCUUGAGGGAGAUAGAGGUGAGCGGAACUUAGGGUGGAGCGGUGAAAUGCGUUGAUAUCCUAAGGAACACCGGUGGCGAAAGCGGCUCACUGGAUCUCUUCUGACGCUGAGGCACGAAAGCGUGGGGAGCAAACAGG
This 253-nucleotide ribosomal RNA is filed under the name uncultured bacterium. RNAcentral's name for it is "partial 16S ribosomal RNA". It matches the Rfam family "Bacterial small subunit ribosomal RNA", at positions 524 to 776 of the family's 1533-position model. The record is from RNAcentral.